UACGUAGGGUGCGAGCGUUAAUCGGAAUUACUGGGCGUAAAGCGUGCGCAGGCGGUCUGUUAAGACCGAUGUGAAAGCCCCGGGCUCAACCUGGGAAUGGCAGUGGAAACUAGGGGACUGGAAUCUGGCAGAGGGGGGUGGAAUGCCGCGUGUAGCAGUGAAAUGCGUAGAGAUGCGGCGGAACACCGAUGGCGAAGGCAGCCCCCUGGGCUGAGAUUGACGCUCAGGCACGAAAGCGUGGGGAGCAAACAGG
Molecule: ribosomal RNA, 253 nt
Filed under: uncultured bacterium
Lineage: Bacteria
Description: partial 16S ribosomal RNA
Rfam family: Bacterial small subunit ribosomal RNA
Source: RNAcentral